Long non-coding RNA from Orcinus orca (killer whale), 8465 nucleotides. RefSeq lists it as uncharacterized. NCBI's taxonomy places the organism in Eukaryota, Metazoa, Chordata, Mammalia, Artiodactyla, Delphinidae. The record is from RefSeq and is a predicted model, not a curated record. The transcript is spliced from 7 exons.
GGGAGCGCUCCCCGGACCCGCGCGCGGCCCUCCCCGUGCGCGCUCCGGCUCCCCGCGCUUGCCUGGCGAGGCCCGGUCCCCGGGCCCUAUUCGGCCAAAACGGCCGCGGCUUCCCCGCGCUGGGGACCCGCGCGCGACCGCCGCUGUGCCGUGCCAGAAAAGGCUUGCCUGCCCCCCGGGACGACGGAGGGGGGGCAGGCAGAAAGGAGCUCCUAUUCGCUUCUCAUUUACCCAGCGACAAAGUCUGACGUCGCCGCAUCAGGUCCCCAUCCUAAGCAGUUCUCUCCCAGAGGUUUGAUAUCCCGUCUUAGCUGGGGCUGGGCAGAUUCAUGGUGUGAUCCAAAGCUGAGCGUCACCGACACAGAGUGCUAGUUUAUAGCAAGAACUGACUCCGGGGUACUCUCCAGUUCCAUGCCUAUGAUGUAGUCAUCAGAGUUGCAAAGGAUUUCUUUAUAAGGUUCUAAAAUUGGAUUACGGUGAUGGUUGUACAACUCCAAAUAUACUAAAACCAUGAACUUUCAACAGGCGACUUAUGUACAAGAUACAUAGAAUGGGCAAAGAAUGUAUGCUGUCAGCUGCAAGGCCUCUUGCCACCGCGGGACACCCGCCCCUCAGAUGACUUCCUGGAGGGGGCCAGUCGGUGAAUCUUUGCUGAGAGGCAGGAACAAGAGGAUUCAUCUGACUUAGCUGGAGAUGGCUCCCUUCCCCAUUUAUUGUUCCAUUCCUAAAGCUUCCCUCCUACCAGGCUCAGUGAGAGCAGAUGGGAAGAGGCACCCACCUCAGAGGAGCUCUGUGAAAAAAUUACUGAGACACUAAGAUGCUGUGAAUUGGGAAAGUUUGGGAACCUCAAGAUUAGAGCUAUACAAACUGUCUCAAAGGGCAAAGGUGGAUUUUAAUGGCUUAAGCUCAAUGAAUGGUUCAUACACUAAAACUCAAAGAGGAAAGGAAGGAUGUAUCCUAUUGGAAACUGAUGAUCUCAACUAAAAGAAAGGAGAGUAGCAGAGACUUCAGAAUGUUGAAAACUCUCUUAUCACAACAGAAGCUAAAAACUCUGAUGGCCAGAGUCAUAAAGACAAGAAACAGGAUCACAACAGCAAGGAAAAUAUCGAUAAAACAAUAACAGAAGAGAGAGAAAAUUUAUGUAAUUUGGGACAUUCCAGGACAAAGAAAAGAAGAACAGGAGGAGGAAAGUAAUGGUCUGCAUGAGGACAUGGACUACAGAAAAGUUAAUGAGUUGGUCAUUGUGUCAAAGGGUAUUUAAAAUUAGCCACUGAUGGGCUUCCCUCGUGGUGCAGUGGUUGGGAGUCCGCCUGCCGAUGCAGGGGACACGGGUUCGUGCCCCGGUCCGGGAGGAUCCCACAUGCUGCGGAGCAGCUGGGCCCGUGAGCCAUGGCCGCUGAGCCUGCGCGUCCGGAGCCUGUGCUUCGCAACAGAAGAGGCCACAACAGUGAGAGGCCCGCGUACAGCAAAAAAUAAAAAAAAUAAAAUUAGCCACUGCUCAAGAAGCCUGAAAUACCAUGACUCUUUUAGGUCAUAGGUGAAGGAAACUGGAUAAGCUUAGUGCAAAUUUGACAAAACUCUAAAAAUGUUACAUGACACUGUAAUGAGUUGGAAGUUGGAAAAAACUUUUCUAAAUUAUCAAUAAUGAAAAAACAAAUUUCUGCUAGACUGAAUUAUCUUUCUCACCUCCUUAUAGAAAGACUGCAGAAAAAAGUGGCUUAUCAUAUAAAGAGAUGACUACAGAUUUAGAAAAAUAUUAUACAUGUAUUUUAGGCAGCUCAUUAGGAAACAUGUUUUGUCAUUUUUCCCCCCUGGAUUUUGUGAUGUUUGUGGAAUUUUUCAGUUUUAGAAAUUAGUAUUUUAUUAUGAUUUCUUACUUCAUUGUAAACAAAUGUUCAAUCUGUGCUCAGUUCUUGUCUGUGAUUUUGAAUUUCUUUCAGUAAAAAGGGCCCCCAAAUUGUAUAAGCUUUAGGCCCCACAAGAACUGGAUCUAUUGCUGCUCAUCUGAUAGCAUCCUUUAUAGAGCAGUGUUUCUCAAGCCUUAAUAUGCAUUUGAAUCCCUUGGGGAUCUUGUUAAGAUGCAGCUCCUGAGAUUCUGUAUUUCUAACAAACUCCCAGGUGGUGCCCACACUGCUGGUCCAGGGACACACUUUGAGAAUCAAAGAUCUAGAACAAUGGUUCCUGUCUGGCUGUGCAUUGGAAUCACUUGUGAUGCUCUUAGAAAACACAGAUGCCUGGGCCCUACCCUUGAAGAUUCUUACUUAGGAGGUCUAGAUUGGGGCCCUUUAGCUAUAUUUUUUUCUUGUUUAAAAAUUCCUUAAGUAGGGAAAGAGACCCUUUGAUACACUGUUGGUGGGAAUUCAAACUGAUGCAACCAUUUUGGAGGUUGAUUUAGCAAUAUCUUCCUGGAAACCCAAAAGAAGCCAGCUUGUAAGGCAGUCUGGGAAAGGGAAUUUACAGAUUCCUACCCCAGGGUGGGAAAAAAAAAGUGUGGGAGGAUGGGGUUUGGCUGAGAGACAAUAGAUAUAUAAUUGGUACAGGGUGCAUUCUCUGUGACCCAGAACUUCCACUUCUAGGAAUUUAUCCUAGUAAUAUUUAUACAUAUCAAGACAUAUGCUUAAGAUUGUUUAAUUCCACAUUAUUUGUAGUUGGGGAAAACUAACAGUAACCUGCCCAUCAAUAAAUUAUUCAAAUCAUGAAACAUCUUUACAAUGAAAUAAAAAUAGCUAAUCUUAGUUAAGCAAUUACUAUGUGCCAGACAUUGCUCUAAGUUAUUUAUAAAUAUUAACUAAAUUUGUCUUCACAAUUAUCAUGUUUCCAUUUACAGAUGAUGUAAUUUAUAUGUAUUGACAUGGAAAGCUGUCCAGGGGUAUAACAGGCAAAAAGCAGCUAGGAGAACAUUACAUAUAGUAUAUCAUGCAUAAAAUGAUAUAUUAAAAUAGCAAAAAAUGAUAUAUUAAAAUCUGAGACACAAUCCCAGUAGAUAACUACUGAUCUAGAAUAGGAAUGAAAGGACAUUCAGUUAUAUCCAAACACGGUGUUUUCAUGCAAUUUGAUGAACUGGUAACACUUUCAGAAGAAGAGAAAGUAAAAAUGAUUAGGUUGAUUUGUUGGUUUAGAGUAUUCUGUCAAUGGUCAGACGGAUAGUCAUUCUGAAUGAUCUCAACAUUAGGGAUGAUGGGAAGAACUGACCCAUAGAUGUUCCUAUAUCUCAUUUCUUUUAGGACACGCUCUUGGGAGAAACACUCCAGUGCAAUUUGUCUGGGCUUCUCAGUUGGUUGCUCUUUGCCUUAUGCUGUUUCACCUUAAUAAGCUCAUUCCACUCUUACUUUUAGUCCAUGGCAAGGUUUAAAACAUUUUCCAACACUUUAUUAUGGGAAUUUUUAAACAUACAGAACAGAUAAAAGAAAUCUACGGGGAACACAUGUAUCUAUCAUUGGAUUGUACAGUUAACAUUUUACUAUACUUGCUUUAUUACAAAUCUACUUAUUUCUCUAUGCACCCAUUGAUCCACUUCAUUUUUGGGGACACAUUUCAAAGUAAUUUGCUGACAUCAAUCAGUACAUUUUUCCCUAAAUGCUUCAGUAUACAUAUCAACAACUAUAGUUUAAUAUUUAUUUAUAGUUCAUUUUCUUUCCUGUGAGGUAAAAUUUACACACAGGAAAUGCACAAAUCUUAGGUGAACCAUUUGAUGAGUUUUAACUAAUGUGUGCAUCUGCAUAACUCAAACUUCUGUCCAGAGAGAACUUUACUGUACCUGCGAGUUCCCUCAUGCCUCCGCCCUGGGGUACUUCCCUGCCUCCGCACCACUCCCCCACCAGACAAUCACUGCUCUGAUUUUUUUCCAUCAUAGAUAUCCAUCCUAGAACUUCAUGUAGUUAGAAUAAUACAAUAUGUCUUUUGUGUAACAAUUCUUUCACUCAGCAUAACGUUUUUGCGUUUUUGCGAUUCAUCCAUGUUAUUGCAUGUCCCCAUUGUUUGUUAAGCACUUCCUUAUUUUCUGGCAUAAGAUGAUGUUUCAGGUUCAACUUGUACUUUCCCUGUUCUAGGCCUGGAAUCAGCCAUUUUCCCAAGGACCUCUGGUUUCCUUUAAUAAAGGGUAUAUUCAGAGACCAAGAUUUGGGCACUCAAUGUUUUAAUUGCUACUGGGGUGUCAUUGCUUUUAGGCUCAUUCACUCCGUGGACAGACAUAGGAAAUACACACACACACACACACACACACACAUACGUACACACACACAUAUAUAUGAGAUAUAUAUGUGUGUUAAUAUAUGUAUAUAUACAUACACACAUAUACAUCUGUAACUAUUUCUGUAUUUAUCUGUGUGUAUGUAUAUAUUUACACACACCAACACACAUAAUAAUAAAAGCUAAGUUCAUACUGAUACUGUGGUUUCAAUCCAAACCCUCAUGGUUUUCUAGACUUCCUGUUUCAAUGUUUGUAAAUACCUUCUCUGGCAAUGAGAAUUUUGGCUCCUAUUAUCCUAGUAUAUUUACUUAUUGGCUCAAUCUCCCAACCACGCCCGCUGUCUCUUCCGCCCACCACCUCCACAUCCUGCCUCUUUACCCUGUGUCUCACCCCCUCCUGCCCUGCAUCCAUGCCUCUGCAUGGCUUCCUCAACCCCCUCACCAUCCUGUGAUUUCAGUUGCUGUGCUGAGUUCUCCAUGCUGGGAAGGGAAGUAGAGGGAGCAGGCAACACAUUUUGAAGGGAUAAAACCCAAGUGAACAAAACCAUUUACUCCAUUUGCAGUAGUUCUAUUUCUUAAUUCCUGUUCCUAAAUUUUUUUUUUUUUUUUUUUGGCUGUGUUGGGUCUUUGUUGCUGUGCACAGGCUUUCUCUAGUUGUGGUGAGCUGGGGCUACUCUUUGUUGCAGUGUGAGGUCUUCUCAUUGCGGUGGCUUCUCUUGUUGUGGAGCACGGGCUCUAUCAUGUAUCUAUCAAUGGUCAGACAGAUAGUCUGCUCUAGGAACGUGGGCUUCAGUAGCAACACGCGGGCUCAGUAGUUGCGGCUUGUGGGCCCUGGAGUGCGCGAGCUUCAGUUGUUGCGGCGCCCGGGCUUAGUUGCUCUGUGGCAUGUGGGAUCUUCCCGGACCAGGGAAUGAACCUGUGUCCCCUGCAUUGGCAGGUGGAUUCUUCACCACUGCGUCACCAGGGAAGUCCUGUUCCUAAAUUUUUACAGAGAAAAGCACCGAGUCUUUAAAAAAGAGAAAGGGAACGAUGGAGUGGAGCAAGUUACAAUUUUAUUUAAAGUCCCAAGCAGAAGACUUUUUUUUAAGGAUUUAUUUAAUUAAUUAAUUAUAACAUCUUUAUUGGAGUAUAAUUGCUUUACAAUGUUGUGUUAGUUUCCACUGUAUAACAAAGUGAAUCAACUAUAUGUAUACAUAUAUCCCCAUAUCCCCUCCCUCUUGCAUCUCCCACCCUCCCUAUCCCACCCCUCUAGGUGGUCACAGAGCACAGAGCUGAUCUCCCUGUGCUAUGCGGCCCAAGCAGAAGACUUUUAACAGGCUAUUAGAAUGAUAACCUGUGCUUGCUGUGAAAUCAGCUCAAAGCCUUCCUGAUGUUGCCCAGCACGGGCUAACGCUGCUCUGUAACAAGUGAACACACUGAUGGCCUUCAAAGGCGUCAGUCAGUCAUAAGGAGUAUUAGCAGAAGCUUCCAUUGCCGAAGUGUUGGCUGUCCUUGGGCAGGCACAGCAGGCGAGGGUCCCAGCCAUUUGCACCAGUCCUCCAGCCUUGGCAUUCACGAGGUCUCAGCUGUGACAAGCCUGUAGGCAUCAAGGUCAGGCCUUCACCCACUGACUUGAGCUUCCUUGGGGUUUCUCAUCAGAGCCUUUGCCUAUCACCUUAGGGGAGAAACCCUGCCAGAGUUCCUUUCACAUUUCCUAAGUCCAAGAAAUAAUCUGGCUUUGGGAAAACAAUCUGAUAACUCUUUCUGGAAGUUGUGGGAGGUAGCGACCCCUUGAGUGCACCAGGCAGCGUGUAGGGUUGGCUCUUUCGUUUCGAGUAGCUUAAUUUGCUUAUCAGAUUGCAUAAAGCUGGGUGCUCUCAGGGUCUGCUUCUAUCUCUGGCCACACACUCCCUUCUGACCAGGGAACCCACUUGAUCAUCUCUGAAAUAUGCCACAUUUGUAGGCUUAAGGCAGCCCUGACCUAAAAUAAGGAUGGCAGAUUUGUUUCAAGACAUGUACUAGCUCUGAUUAAUUGUUCGCAUAGGCCUGAGAGAGCUGUAUAGUAAAGGACUUUGUGGCCUCAUCAGGGCCCAAUAGGAAAGAGUACUGUAAUUGAUUAGUUACGUCUGCCGUGAGCAUGGCAGGGAAGACUGGGGUAAAUGGGCACCGUAUUUGUCAUCCCUAUCCUAGGAUUUAACCUCAUGUUCCACCACAAGAUAGGUAAGAAAGUUUUGCCUGAGGUAGACAGUAAUUAUCUUAACUUCAAAACUGCCUGAUUGGCAGUAUCUCGUGUCUGUUGUCCUUAUUUAUUUUAUUAAUAUUUUGGCCAAGUGUGUUCUCUGACGAAUAACAAGAAAGAAAGAGAAAAAUGAAUAUUCAUUGAACAUCUACUAAUUGUCAGUUCCUUCUUUUAGGAGCUUUAUUAAAUAUCUCUCAUGAUAUAUUCAAAACAAUCUUAUAAAAUCAGAAUAUUAUUCCCCUUCUUAAAAUAAUAAAGAAAUUAAGCCUCAGAGAAGAAAAUAUUUGCCUAAACCAUAAUAGAACAUCUCAAAUCCAAGGGUGAUACUCAUUCUGAUAUGCUUGGACAGUGGUUCUCACUCUUAGGAACAUAUUAGAAUCUCCUGGAAAGAUUUUAAAAACAUUUGAAAAUUUUGAUGACUGCAUCUUGUCAAUUACAUCAGAACCUCUGGGGUAGGGGAGACUCAGGCAUAGGAAUGGGUUAAAAAUUUUCCAGUUGAUUCUAAUCUGCAGUCACUGGGCCAAGGGGUAGGGAGCAGGAUAAUUUAUAUUUAUAGAAUGCCCAUUCUGAGCCUAGCUCCCUGCCCUGCCAUAUUCUAUCUAAUUUAAUUCUCAUGUAAUUUCUCAAAGAAAAAACUAUUAGCCUCUUUUUACCUAUGAGGAAAAUGGAGGCUCAUAAAACAAAGAAAUUCCUGAAGAUCUUGCAGUAGAACUGGGAUUUGAAUGCAAGUCUGUUUGCUUCCAAAGUACUUGCUCUUUCCAUGGCACCAUGCUUUUUUUGUUAAGUUUCUGAACCAAGGCUCCACCCUUAACCUUAGUUAUGAGCAAAUCUGGAUUCUGCCUAGUUUCCGUAUCUGACCCCAACUUGUCAUUCCCUUCCUUGACUUGGUUCCAGCUUCAGCUGGAAGCACCCUUCUGAGCAUUUGGUUUCAUGGUCGAGAAAUGCAAGAGGCACCCCCUAAAGUUACCACCUUCUAUCCUGUGGGCUUUGGGCAGCUCAGAGCAAGGCUGUUUCCAGAGCCAGGGAUCCUGCACAGUGACCUCGACUGCAGGAUCUCUGAUGUCCAGGCCAGAUAAGUGUAGAGUCCCUUCUUUGGACACGAGGCAGUUCAAAGAGAUACAGAAGAGUUGUGGCCUGAGGUCCUAAUCCUGUUAAUUGAGGGCACCUGUGUGCCUGCUUGGCUGUUUCAAUGUCACAUUGACUUCAGCUCCUUAGGUCAGAAUCAGGAGUCUCCAUGAGAUAGCUGAGUGAACAGGAGAACCUCAGAGCUGGAUUGGACCUCCAGCUUGAUUUAGUUCCACACCUCCCCAAGGCCAAAAAGCCCUGUCAGCACCAUUGUCUGAAACAAAUGAGACUGUUUAAAUAUUUCCUGGGGAAGGAAUGGCACAAUCUCUCCCAUUAAUUGAUACAUUGUUAGGCAGCUCAGAAACACUUUUAAAAUUAAGCCUGUAUAUUGCUCUCUACAAUUUUCAAGUUCUUCAGCUGAUUGAUUUUCCUCAAUCUUAUCAAAGACUAAUUUCUAUAAAGUUGAUCCAUCAUCCAAGUAGUUGGUACAAAUUAGGUUGGACUAAGCAAGGUCAGUUCCAGGCCAAAUUAUGAAUAAGGUUCUCCAGCGGAGUUUACUUUCAUUGUCCUUAAUCAUGUGUUUUCCUUUAGGGACAGCCCCUUCUCACCCUCUCCAGUCUAACUUUUCUUCCCCCAUCAGAAUUCCCGCUGUCAGAAAAAAUUUGGAAACUUAGCCACCAGGGGUAAGUGAAUGAUAAAACAUGAUUGAUCUCCUCCUAAGAGCAUUUAUACUUUUUUUUUUUUUAAGGAUGAAGGCUUGAAAGGUUUGGCAUAAAGGAAUAAAAUGAAUCUUAGUCAUCAGGCAGCUUAAGGGAGGGUGGGGUAAGGGAACAUAGCUUCCCAGCAAUUCUGAUAUUGAAACAGCACGUAAAACAUUGAUCAGCUUCAGCUAGUUUUGCCUCCUUAAACAGAGCGUUGAUUAAUCAAAUUGAAACAGCACCAGCUUAAACUGGUUUUGCCUCUGUAACUAGGUUGAUUAAUCAAACCUUGAGUU